GUAUUUUACAAAUCAGCAGUGCCAGUCCCUCUUACCAUUGCUCUUUUUCAGGAGUUUUUUUAGGCUAAACCCGUGUGUGUGUGUGUGCGCACGCAGAGAGAGAGGGUCUCUCUCUGUUGCGCUGGCUGGAGUAUAGUGGUGUGAUCACAGCUCACUGCAGCUUUGACUUCCUGGGCUAAAGUGAUCCUUCCACCUCAGCCUCCCGAGUAGCUGGGACCAUAGGUGUGCGACACCACAUGUGGCUAAUUUAAAAAAAUUUUUUUGUAGAGAAGGGGUCUCCCCAUGUUGCCCAGGCUUCUGCUGUUUUUAAGUAUCAAAAUACUUGCCAACACAAUGUUUUUUCAGAUGGCAGUUGGCAGCUUUGUUCACCCUUCCUGAAUUCUCUUUCCCUUUCUUUCCAUUUCCUCCAACCCCAUCCCUCACCAUCCUCACUUCAAAAACACUCCAACCCUCUUGCUUAUUAUUUAGUAUCUGCAACUCUACUGUUCUCUGCAAUUCAAAUCUGUAAUUAUUAUAUAUUUCUCUUUAUCCUCUAACCAAUCUUAAGAUCUGUUCAGUUGCCCAUAUAAAAAUUACCACAAAGACUUUUCCUCAUUAACUGGAAAUGACUUGCAAUCCAUUAUAAUAGGUCUUGAGAUGUUCUCACCAAUGGUCACAAUAUUUUAAUAUUGUGGCCUUUGGACAUGUAACCUCAACGUUCAAAUGAUUAAAGAUAUAACCAAUUUAAACUUACCCUUUUCAUUUCUUGUCGCCAAAUAUAAUUUCUUGAAGAAAUUAUACAAAGUAAAAUUCUCUACCAAC
This 801-nucleotide small RNA is filed under the name Pongo abelii (Sumatran orangutan). RNAcentral's name for it is "sense intronic". Lineage: Eukaryota; Metazoa; Chordata; Mammalia; Primates; Hominidae. The record is from RNAcentral.